GACGAACGCUGGCGGCGUGCUUAACACAUGCAAGUCGAACGGAAAGGCCCUGCUUUUGUGGGGUGCUCGAGUGGCGAACGGGUGAGUAACACGUGAGUAACCUGCCCUUGACUUUGGAAUAACUUCAGGAAACUGGGGCUAAUACCGGAUAGGAGCUCCUGCUGCAUGGUGGGGGUUGGAAAGUUUCGGCGGUUGGGGAUGGACUCGCGGCUUAUCAGCUUGUUGGUGGGGUAGUGGCUUACCAAGGCUUUGACGGGUAGCCGGCCUGGGGGGGUGACCGGCCCCAUUGGGCCUGGGGAACGCCCCGGACUCCUCCGGGCGGAAGGGGUGGGGAUUUUUCCAAAAGGGGCGGAGGCAGUGUGGAGCACCGCCGGGUGGGGGAUGACGGCUUUCGGGUUGUAACCCAUUUUCGCCUUACCCGACGCGUGGGUACCGGUAAUGGGUAAAAAAGCACCGCCAACCUCCUU
RNAcentral lists this ribosomal RNA (467 nucleotides) under uncultured bacterium. RNAcentral's name for it is "partial 16S ribosomal RNA". It matches the Rfam family "Bacterial small subunit ribosomal RNA", at positions 28 to 506 of the family's 1533-position model. The record is from RNAcentral.